AUUGAGAGAAUCAACCACAUCAUAUGAUCUCAUAUGAUAAACUUCUGCUUGCUGAAUCACAGUGAUAAAUUGGAUAGAAAAUGAAAACAAAUCAUUAAACAACCCUAUCAUAUCACAUGAAUUUAAUAUACAGAGGAGAUAGGUCACAGUAAACAAACCAGUCAUCACCAGCAUUUGCAGUGAGAGGGGCCUCGGUGGACAAGUGGUCUAAGUAGUUCCCCUACUGUAAUCACUAGCCACACAACACUCAGGUUGUGAGUUUGAAUCUCACUAAUGCUGGCGCACUUGACUCCAAUCUUAAUUGUCUGGGAUUCUUAUUUUCAUAUCAAAGGUCAGUGGUUUUCUCAGGGCACUCCAGCUUCCUCCACCAAUAAAAACUGACUGCCACGAUUUAGCCAAAAAGUUAUAACACCAACAAGCAAUCAAUUAUUUGCAGUGAAUAUCACCAUCAUGAGUUUACACUAGAAAUCACUCAUGAAAAUGAGAUGUGUCAAUGCUUAUUCAAAUACAUACCAAAUAUCAUUGACCUACCACUACUGGUUUCCCAUAAACUGACCUAAUGGUUAUUAUAUAUAAUUACAUUGUUGACAAAAAUAUAAUGUCUACACUGUCAUAAACAGCAUACCAUGUCUCUCUUUGUGUGUUUCUCAUUAUAAGACAACUUUUUUCAAUUCAGUGAAAUAAGGAAAAGUUUCUUCAGUAAAGAAAAAU
Molecule: long non-coding RNA, 711 nt
Filed under: Mytilus galloprovincialis (Mediterranean mussel)
Lineage: Eukaryota; Metazoa; Mollusca; Bivalvia; Mytilida; Mytilidae
Source: RNAcentral